AAACCAGCACCUCAAGUGGUCAGGAGGAUUAUUGGGCCUAAAGCAUCCGUAGCCUGUUCUAUAAGUUUCCGGUUAAAUCCAUUAGCUCAACUAAUGGGCCGCCGAAAAUACUGUAGAACUAGGGAGUGGGAGAGGUAGACGGUAUUCGGUAGGAAGGGGUAAAAUCCUUUGAUCUAUUGAUGACCACCAGUGGCGAAGGCGGUCUACCAGAACACGUUCGACGGUGAGGGAUGAAAGCUGAGGGAGCAAACCGGAUUAGAAACCCCAGUAGUCC
This 274-nucleotide ribosomal RNA is filed under the name uncultured bacterium. Its description in RNAcentral is "partial 16S ribosomal RNA". It matches the Rfam family "Archaeal small subunit ribosomal RNA", at positions 473 to 747 of the family's 1478-position model. The record is from RNAcentral.